Molecule: ribosomal RNA, 253 nt
Filed under: uncultured bacterium
Lineage: Bacteria
Description: partial 16S ribosomal RNA
Rfam family: Bacterial small subunit ribosomal RNA
Source: RNAcentral
UACGUAGGGGGCAAGCGUUGUCCGGAUUUAUUGGGCGUAAAGAGCGUGUAGGCGGCCUGGAAGGUCAGCUGUGAAAACUCGAGGCUCAACCUCGAGACGUCGGUUGAAACCACCUGGCUAGAGUCCGGAAGAGGAGAGUGGAAUUCCCGGUGUAGCGGUGAAAUGCGCAGAUAUCGGGAAGAACACCCGUGGCGAAGGCGGCUCUCUGAGACGGUACUGACGCUGAGACGCGAAAGCGUGGGGAGCGAACAGG